Long non-coding RNA from Perognathus longimembris pacificus (Pacific pocket mouse), 789 nucleotides. RefSeq lists it as uncharacterized. NCBI's taxonomy places the organism in Eukaryota, Metazoa, Chordata, Mammalia, Rodentia, Heteromyidae. The transcript has 3 exons. The record is from RefSeq and is a predicted model, not a curated record.
AAAGAGGGUGCAUACAAAUUAAUUAGGAAACAGAGUUGCAGAUGAUCAAGUACAUGCCCUUCACUUUCCCAAAGUGAAGCAAUGGAAGUAAAGCUGAAGAAAUUGUUACCAUGUUACUGAAGACAACACUACCUGGUAGGGGAGGAAGGAAAAAAAGUGGCCUAGGAUUAAGUUCCAAGUUUUAUAGUAUUAGACCUCAGAGAACAUUUCUAUCACCACAGAAAAUUCAACUGGACAAUGGUCGAAGUACCAGAAAAUGAGAGAAUAUCAUCUUUUUGAAAAUGUUGGAGCAGAAGAAACUAUGCUAAAUGAGAAUGUGAGCAAGGACAGUUUUAAUAUCUUCCGUUUGACAAUUUUGAAGCAGUCAUUUAUUAUUUUAACAAUUGUGAAAUUGGAAAGCGUGACACAAUUGAUGUAAUCAUUUAAUUAGUGUUCAGUUUUCCACCUGAGGGAUAAACAAACAAAUUGAUGAUGGGUCUCAUGAUCAUUGUCGGGUUUUUGGGGGGCCAAUGAAAUGGCUAAAUCAGGACAAAGAGGUUUUCAUCUUGAGUAGUAAUCACAAGGAUGGAAGAACAGAAAUUGGAAGGAAGACUGGAGAUAUGUUGAUAAUAGGAUUUGAACUAAAUCCAUAAAGAAGCAGCCUCUAGGUACUGGUUAGAAAUUUGCAGCAAGGAUACAUUGACCACAAUAUAAAGUGCAUUCUUAGUUUCACAAGAUUUGACUCUGAGUACUAAGAUAGUCUGUUGACUGUGAGUUGAGUUUCAAGGUAAUAACUUGAAACAUUCAUUU